ACUUACCUGAGUACUACGAAUAUUAUAAUUUAAAACUCAAAGAGCUUGGCGGUGCCUUAAACUUUUUAGGGGAACCUGUCUCAUAAUCGAUAGUCCACGUUAGACCUUUCCUUUUUUUGUAAAAUUCAGUAUGUAUACCGUCGUCGUCAGGUAACUUUUAAAAAUAAAAAAGUUAGCGAUUGGAGGUAUAACCUUAAACGUCAGAUCAAGGUGCAGCUUAUAAAAUGGAGAAGAUGGGUUACAAUUAAAAAUUAUAAUUACGGAAAUAAAAUUGAAAUAAUUUAUUGAAGGAGGACUUAAUAGUAAAAAAUUUAUAUAAAAUUUUUGAAUUAAGCUCUAAGGCGUGCACACAUCGCCCGUCACCCUCA
This 368-nucleotide ribosomal RNA is filed under the name Cremnoconchus sp. 7 SC-2021. Its description in RNAcentral is "partial small subunit ribosomal RNA". It matches the Rfam family "Microsporidia small subunit ribosomal RNA", at positions 752 to 1207 of the family's 1311-position model. The record is from RNAcentral. Lineage: Eukaryota; Metazoa; Mollusca; Gastropoda; Littorinimorpha; Littorinidae.